AGGGCACCACCAGGAGUGGAGCCUGCGGCUUAAUUUGACUCAACACGGGAAAACUCACCCGGCCCGGACACCGUAAGGAUUGACAGACUGAUAGCUCUUUCUUAAUUUGGUGGGUGGUGGUGCAUGGCCGUUCUUAGUUGGCGGAGCGAUUUGUCUGGUUACUUCCCAUAACGAACGAUACUCUGGCCUAUUAAAUAAACGGUAUAUCGAAAAGUAUGCUGUACUUCUUAGAGGGACAAGUGGCGUCUAGCCGCAUGAAAUAGAGCAAUAACCGGUCUGUGAUGCCCUUAGAUGUCCGGGGCUGCACGCGCGCUACACUUGAAAGAAUCAGAGUGCGCUGUACCUAGUUCUGAAGAACCGAUGUAACCCAAAUAAAUUCUUUCGUGCUUGGGAUAGGGAAUUGCAAUUAUUUCCCUAUAAACGAGGAAUUCCCAGUAAAUGCGGGUCAUAAGCUCGCGUUGAUUACGUCCCUGCCCUUUGUACACACCGCCCGUCGCUACUACCGAUUGGAUGACUUAU
Molecule: ribosomal RNA, 519 nt
Filed under: uncultured eukaryote
Lineage: Eukaryota
Description: SSU rRNA
Rfam family: Eukaryotic small subunit ribosomal RNA
Source: RNAcentral